Molecule: non-coding RNA, 272 nt
Organism: Cynoglossus semilaevis (tongue sole)
Lineage: Eukaryota; Metazoa; Chordata; Actinopteri; Pleuronectiformes; Cynoglossidae
Product: small Cajal body-specific RNA 6
Source: Ensembl
GGUCAGUGAUGAACAGUAAAAGGUCUGAUUACCCACAGUCCUCUCCUCCUGCCCGCUGGCUCCUAGCAGCUUCUGCUCACAUCUCUCACCAUGCUAAAGUAGUGCACCGGUGGUUCCACAAGCUGCUGACAUACAGGAAGUGACAUCACUGUGUGGGUCUGUACCAAGAUACUACAGACUCAUUGAUGACUGACAUCCAACAGAACCAUUCACUAUGGAGUGUCAGGCGAAGGAGAAGGAGGGAGCUGAUCUCAAGUUUUCAAACUGAGACC